Molecule: long non-coding RNA, 1673 nt
Filed under: Olea europaea subsp. europaea
Lineage: Eukaryota; Viridiplantae; Streptophyta; Magnoliopsida; Lamiales; Oleaceae
Source: RNAcentral
CCAUUUCAUAAAUUUGUGAUUUAAAAUGCACUCACAAACAACCAUCUUUACCGCUCACAAAUAAGCCAGGCACCAACAAUCUUAAGACAAUAAUUUAUCAAUGGUUGUUUGGCGUUCUAAUCAAGUUUUGUUUGUUGUGCAGUUUAUAUUUUAGUUCUUGUUGGAAUAUGAUUCUAGAAAAUCAGUGUGUUGGUUUCUCUAUUGCCGAUGGAAGACCAUGAUGAAACUAUAAGCCACUUUAAGAAAUUACUUUGGCNUAACGCAUUUUUGGAACACACUUGAUAGGUCCAUAGUUGGAUCAUUCAACUUAUAUGAUCCCGAAGAAGAGCCACUUGAUUCACCACCUCAUCGUCAUACGGCAAAACAUCAGAGCACUUGAAAUGCCUACAGUCACGAGUACAGCAAUGGAACAGCCGUCCUUUGUUUUAACUAUUUUUUUCCACCUCCAUCCACUUCAUAAACCCCUCGCCACGUUUCGGCAUCUUUUCUUUCUCGAACAUUCCGACGAAUGACCUGGCUUUUUGCAGCUAUGGCAUAUACAUCUGUUCCUUCCUGCAAUGGAGCAAACUCUAGCUCACAGUGCAAUUCAAGAAGCUUAAAGUCAGAAUUUGAUCUCCAUAAAAUAUUGUACAAGUGCAAUUGAACACAAAAAGUCUUGACCAUUCUCUGGAAUAUAACACAGUUGAACACUAAAUUAUUUUCAAUUCAACACGACAUUAUUUUCAAUUGAACAUUCUAAACAUUUACAUAGCUUCAAUUGUAAAUCAUUUAGAAGAUUUAUGGUCAUAUUUCUUUAAUCUAGACUGACGAGUAUAGUAAACUAGUACUUCACUAGCAAUUGAGUGAAUUCGUAAAUUCUAUUUCAAAUUUCUGUGAACUAUAGAUAUUCAUGCUCAAUCAUGUAUAUCAAGACUUAUUACUUUACUUUACUUGUCAUAAUAUUACUUAUAGAUUGUUGUUAACGUUACUCGCCGUUAUUAAGCUUAAUUGUUACUUUUAAAACUUGAGAAUUUGUUUUGAGAGUCUUAGAACUCUUUCAUGAAUGCUAAAUAUACCAGUUUUCCUAGUCCCUUAGAUAAACAACUCUAGACACAAUUUAAGCUCUCCAACAAAGAGUUUUGCAUCCUAUGAUCAAAGCAUUUCCAACUGAAAUCAUAAACUGGAAAUUAUACAUACCGUACAAUUGAUUUAGAGAAUAUCAGACGCCAGCGGUUUGAAAAAGUUGAGGUCGUAGCACCAACGGUUAGUAGAGACGGCAGCCCCGGCGGUUUAGAAACUUUCAGACGGCUACCUCGGCGGUUUGGAAAUUUUCAGAUUCAAAAGCUUGGAAAUUUUCAUAUAAUGAGAGAAACCUUUUCCCCGUCGAUUUGAGAGCUUUUCAUAUAAAUGUGACUUGUUGGGGAUGAGUAGGUGGGUAAUAAAUGAUGGGAGAGAAAAAGAAAGUGGGUUUGGUGAAUAAUAAAUGUUGGGAGACAAACCAAGUGGUAUGACUGUUUGACCCUUUUUUUUUUGAAUUCAAUAUAUCACCAGGUGUCAAUUCGGUACAAGAAUCUGGCAAGAGUGAUGUACAUAUAGAAUUUUUCUUUUCUAGAUAUACAUCGCCUAAUGUACAUAAAGGAAAAAGGAAAGGGUCAUGUACAUAUAGAGUUUUCCUUUUUUUUUUUGAAUUCAAU